UAUUUAUAAAUUUAAUUUGAUGAAUAUGAAUUGCAAAAAUUUGUAAAGGCUAUGUAUUGAGUAGUCUCAGAGAUUAAUAGAAAUAUAUCAGGCUUAGUUUCGUAUUGGGGUCUAGUGUUAAUUUUUAUAUAUUUCGAUGAGACCGCAAAAAAUAUAUCAUAACCGAUUUACCGCGAUAUGCGGAAUGCAACAUUACGCACGUAAAUAAAUAUAAUAUUUUUCUAUCAUACUUUCUCAUCGCACAUAACAUAAUCUCUCUACAAUUCCAAACGAAGCCUUAUUCAGUUCAGAAAAAAAUUAAAUAAUUAAAAACAUAAUAAAAUAUAUUUAGUUUUCAAGACCUCUAUUUUAGCAGAGAUUGCAUGCACCAGCUCUGUACGUAUGUCAUAUACACUACAUUUUAUUUUUUAUUAUAAAUACAUUAAUAUCAUCUAUAACAUAUAUAAAGUCUAUAUAUCAAUAUCACAAAGUUUUAAAAAUCCCU
Molecule: long non-coding RNA, 484 nt
Filed under: Ananas comosus (pineapple)
Lineage: Eukaryota; Viridiplantae; Streptophyta; Magnoliopsida; Poales; Bromeliaceae
Description: long non-coding RNA (ACOM_LNC006548)
Source: RNAcentral